Molecule: ribosomal RNA, 744 nt
Filed under: uncultured Salinivibrio sp.
Lineage: Bacteria; Pseudomonadati; Pseudomonadota; Gammaproteobacteria; Vibrionales; Vibrionaceae
Description: bacterial SSU rRNA
Rfam family: Bacterial small subunit ribosomal RNA
Source: RNAcentral
CGCAUGCAGGCGGUUUGUUAAGUCAGAUGUGAAAGCCCGGGGCUCAACCUCGGAACCGCAUUUGAAACUGGCAGGCUAGAGUCUUGUAGAGGGGGGUAGAAUUUCAGGUGUAGCGGUGAAAUGCGUAGAGAUCUGAAGGAAUACCAGUGGCGAAGGCGGCCCCCUGGACAAAGACUGACGCUCAGAUGCGAAAGCGUGGGUAGCAAACAGGAUUAGAUACCCUGGUAGUCCACGCCGUAAACGCUGUCUACUUGGAGGUUGAGGUUUAAGACUUUGGCUUUCGGCGCUAACGCAUUAAGUAGACCGCCUGGGGAGUACGGCCGCAAGGUUAAAACUCAAAUGAAUUGACGGGGGCCCGCACAAGCGGUGGAGCAUGUGGUUUAAUUCGAUGCAACGCGAAGAACCUUACCUACUCUUGACAUCCAGAGAACUUUCCAGAGAUGGAUUGGUGCCUUCGGGAACUCUGAGACAGGUGCUGCAUGGCUGUCGUCAGCUCGUGUUGUGAAAUGUUGGGUUAAGUCCCGCAACGAGCGCAACCCUUAUCCUUGUUUGCCAGCACGUAAUGGUGGGAACUCCAGGGAGACUGCCGGUGAUAAACCGGAGGAAGGUGGGGACGACGUCAAGUCAUCAUGGCCCUUACGAGUAGGGCUACACACGUGCUACAAUGGUAGAUACAGAGGGCAGCGAAGCUGCGAAGUGGAGCGGAUCCCUUAAAGUUUGUCGUAGUCCGGAUUGGAGUCUGCA